GGGGCCGAUUAGGAUUCGACGCCGGUUGCGAAACUUGAGGAGCGUGCCGAGUUGGUAACAGAACUCGUAAAUCCACUGUUGCACACUGAUAGUUGCCAACGACGACAACUACGCUCUGGCGGCUUAAGCCCGCCAGCUGUCCUUAGGGGAUGCCUGUAAACCCGAAUUCAGGACAGUCAGAUAGAACAGGAUCGCCGCCAAGCACGCUGUGGGCGUAACGGCUAAAACUUACACAGCUCGCUCCAAACGCCCUGCCACUCGGGCCGUGAGGAGUUAACUCAAUAGAGAUGGCUACGCAUGUAGAACCGAUAGCAGAGUGCUGGCGGACGGGGGUUCAAAUCCCCCCGGCUCCACCA
Molecule: transfer-messenger RNA, 356 nt
Filed under: Pseudomonadaceae
Lineage: Bacteria; Pseudomonadati; Pseudomonadota; Gammaproteobacteria; Pseudomonadales
Also listed under: 1 other name
Description: Thiopseudomonas sp012728415 Standard tmRNA
Rfam family: transfer-messenger RNA
About the family: Bacterial tmRNA, also known as 10Sa RNA or SsrA, is named for its dual tRNA and mRNA-like properties. Its role is to liberate the mRNA from a stalled ribosome.
Source: RNAcentral